RNAcentral lists this ribosomal RNA (454 nucleotides) under uncultured bacterium. Its description in RNAcentral is "partial 16S ribosomal RNA". It matches the Rfam family "Bacterial small subunit ribosomal RNA", at positions 28 to 507 of the family's 1533-position model. The record is from RNAcentral.
GAUGAACGCUGACAGAAUGCUUAACACAUGCAAGUCAACUUGAACUUCGGUUUGGGUGGCGGACGGGUGAGUAACGCGUAAAGAACUUGCCUCACAGCUAGGGACAACAUUUGGAAACGAAUGCUAAUACCUGAUAUUAUGAUUUUAGGGCAUCCUAGAAUUAUGAAAGCUAUAUGCGCUGUGAGAGAGCUUUGCGUCCCAUUAGCUAGUUGGAGAGGUAGCGUCUCACCAAGGCGAUGAUGGGUAGCCGGCCUGAGAGGGUGAACGGCCACAAGGGGACGGAGACACGGCCCUUACUCAUACGGGAGGAAGGAGUGGGGAAUAUUGGAAAAAGGACCAAGAGUCUGAUCCAGCAAUUCUGUGCGCAAGAUGAAGUUUUUCGGAAUGUAAAGUGGUUUAAGUUGCGAAGAAAAAAAUGACGGUACCAACAGAAGAAGUGACGGCUAAAUACGUG